This 906-nucleotide ribosomal RNA is filed under the name Triticum aestivum (bread wheat). RNAcentral's name for it is "partial small subunit ribosomal RNA". Lineage: Eukaryota; Viridiplantae; Streptophyta; Magnoliopsida; Poales; Poaceae. The record is from RNAcentral.
AUGGCUGAGGAGCCCCCGCCGGCGAGUAGGCCGAAGCCGCCGAUGUCGCGCAUCAUGCGCCUAUCCCUCAGGGCCGUGGACUACGUCGCCGACGCCACCCGCCGCGCCGACGGCACCGUGAACCGCCGCGUGCUCUCCCUCCUAGACCCGCGCGUCCCGGCCUUCUCCUCCCCGUGCCGCGGCGUCGCCUCCCGCGACGUCGUCGUCGACCCGACCCUCCGCGUUCGCGCCCGCCUCUUCCACCCAGCGAGACCCGCCGGCGACGCCAAGGGAGCGCCUCUCCCCGUGAUCGUCUUCUUCCACGGCGGCGGGUUCGCGUUCCUCUCCGCGGCGUCGCUGGCCUACGACGCCGCGUGCCGGCGCAUCGCGAGGUACGCCUCCGCGGCCGUGCUCUCCGUCGACUACCGCCGCGCCCCGGAGCACCGGUUCCCCGCGCCCUACGACGACGGCCUCGCCGCGCUCCGCUUCCUCGACGACCCGAGUAACCACCAGGCGGACGUCCCGCUCCAGACCUCCCGCUGGUUCCUCGCCGCGCUCCGCUUCCUCGACGACCCGAGUAACCACCAGGCGGACGCCCGCACCGACUGGAUGUGGCGCGCGUUCCUCCCGGACGGCGCUGACCGCACUCACGAGGCCGCGUGCUUCACCUCCCCUGGGGCAGCCGCUGGCGUGGACAGCCCGGCCUUCCCGCCGGUGCUGCUCGUCAUCGGCGGCUAUGACCCGCUUCAGGACUGGCAGAGACGGUAUUGCGAGAUGCUGAAGGACAGCGGCAAGGACGUGAGGGUGUUGGAGUACCCGGACGGCAUUCACGCGUUCUUCCUCUUCCCUGGGUUCGAUGACGCGCGCAACCUCAUGACACGCAUCGCCGAGUUCGUCGGCGAGAGCGACGAUGGCGGCAGCGAGUAA